GGAGGUGUAGCUCAGUGGUAGAGCACAUGCUGAGCAUUACAAUACACUGGGUUCAGUCCCCAGCACCCCCC
This 71-nucleotide transfer RNA is filed under the name Marmota monax (woodchuck). It matches the Rfam family "tRNA". From Rfam's summary of the family: Transfer RNA (tRNA) molecules are approximately 80 nucleotides in length. Their secondary structure includes four short double-helical elements and three loops (D, anti-codon, and T loops). The record is from Rfam by way of RNAcentral. Lineage: Eukaryota; Metazoa; Chordata; Mammalia; Rodentia; Sciuridae.